Molecule: ribosomal RNA, 468 nt
Filed under: uncultured bacterium
Lineage: Bacteria
Description: partial 16S ribosomal RNA
Rfam family: Bacterial small subunit ribosomal RNA
Source: RNAcentral
GACGAACGCUGGCGGCGUGCUUAACACAUGCAAGUCGAACGGAAAGGCCCUGCUUUUGUGGGGUGCUCGAGUGGCGAACGGGUGAGUAACACGUGAGUAACCUGCCCUUGACUUUGGGAUAACUUCAGGAAACUGGGGCUAAUACCGGAUAGGAGCUCCUGCUGCAUGGUGGGGGUUGGAAAGUUUCGGCGGUUGGGGAUGGACUCGCGGCUUAUCAGCGUGUUGGUGGGGUAGUGGCUUACCAAGGCUUUGACGGGUAGCCGGCCUGAGAGGGUGACCGGCCACAUUGGGACUGAGAUACGGCCCAGACUCCUACGGGGGGCAGAAGUGGGGAAUAUUGCACAAUGGGCGGAAGCCUGAUGCAGCAACGCCGCGUGCGGGAUGACGGCCUUCGGGUUGUAAACCGCUUUCGCCUGUGACGAAGCGUGAGUGACGGUAAUGUGUAAAGAAGCACCGGCUAACUACGUG